AAUCCUCAACCCCAUCUCCCUUGUGGUGAUUAGGUGUUGGACGUGGAAGCUGCUGGCUUGUCUUGAGUCGGCUCUUCUGAAAUAGAUUAGCAGGGCCACGCUGUGCGGCUUGGUAUUGAUAGUUGUCUUACCAGGUAGCUGAAAGCAUGUUAGUCCAGCUUCAAGCCGUCUCUUUGGAGACAACAUUGACG
RNAcentral lists this unclassified non-coding RNA (191 nucleotides) under Pluteus podospileus. RNAcentral describes it as "partial internal transcribed spacer 2". Lineage: Eukaryota; Fungi; Basidiomycota; Agaricomycetes; Agaricales; Pluteaceae. The record is from RNAcentral.